RNAcentral lists this transfer RNA (80 nucleotides) under Syntrophus sp. (in: bacteria). RNAcentral's name for it is "tRNA-Pro". It matches the Rfam family "tRNA". Rfam says of the family: Transfer RNA (tRNA) molecules are approximately 80 nucleotides in length. Their secondary structure includes four short double-helical elements and three loops (D, anti-codon, and T loops). Further hydrogen bonds mediate the characteristic L-shaped molecular structure. tRNAs have two regions of fundamental functional importance: the anti-codon, which is responsible for specific mRNA codon recognition, and the 3' end, to which the tRNAs corresponding amino acid is attached (by aminoacyl-tRNA synthetases). tRNAs cope with the degeneracy of the genetic code in two manners: having more than one tRNA (with a specific anti-codon) for a particular amino acid; and 'wobble' base-pairing, i.e. permitting non-standard base-pairing at the 3rd anti-codon position. Lineage: Bacteria; Pseudomonadati; Thermodesulfobacteriota; Syntrophia; Syntrophales; Syntrophaceae. The record is from RNAcentral.
CGGGGCGUAGCGCAGCUUGGUAGCGUAUCUGAAUGGGGUUCAGAGGGUCGGAGGUNNUUCAAAUCCUCUCGCCCCGACCA